This is a non-coding RNA of Prunus avium (sweet cherry), 479 nucleotides long. Lineage: Eukaryota; Viridiplantae; Streptophyta; Magnoliopsida; Rosales; Rosaceae. The record is from RefSeq and is a predicted model, not a curated record.
AACAGGCGGUUGUGGACAGCUUUUUCGUGAACUUUCGCCGGCUCGUUCUCCCUCCUCCGGCCACCGUUUCAGGCGAGUUAGUGACCGAUCCGUGAAUUUUUCUUAUUGGGGGCAAGAUGUAGACCAAAUCUACAAAAUCUACCACACGUUUCAUACAUCAUUCAAAUACUCAACAAGUAACAAAUAAGGGUGCUAGAUACUUAUAAAUCUGCAAUCCACAGAGUCACCAAACCUUCCACAGCUGCCGAGAAUACCCAGUCCACGCCACUUUGUCUCUCUAACCUGCCUUGCUCAACAGAGCAUCAAUGGAACUUCAUGGGCAGUAAAAAAAGUUGAGUAGGGCCAAUAGUCGUCACUAUCCCCUCAAGUGGAUCUGUCACUGGAUGUGUGGUGUAUGUUUUAUAUCAACCAUUUUAGGUGAGCUACAUCAGCCAUAGAGUUCUAAUCCUACUUCAAUAAAAUCUAGAGUGUUUUCUCAA